This 253-nucleotide ribosomal RNA is filed under the name uncultured bacterium. RNAcentral describes it as "partial 16S ribosomal RNA". It matches the Rfam family "Bacterial small subunit ribosomal RNA", at positions 524 to 776 of the family's 1533-position model. The record is from RNAcentral.
UACAGAGGGGGCAAGCGUUGUUCGGAAUUACUGGGCGUAAAGGGCGCGUAGGCGGCCUGCUAAGUCGAACGUGAAAUCCCUGGGCUCAACCCAGGAACUGCGUCCGAUACUGGUUGGCUUGAAUCCGGGAGAGGGAUGUGGAAUUCCAGGUGUAGCGGUGAAAUGCGUAGAUAUCUGGAGGAACACCGGUGGCGAAGGCGGCAUCCUGGACCGGCAUUGACGCUGAGGCGCGAAAGCGUGGGGAGCGAACAGG